This is a long non-coding RNA of Beta vulgaris subsp. vulgaris (sugar beet), 473 nucleotides long. RefSeq lists it as uncharacterized. The record is from RefSeq and is a predicted model, not a curated record. The transcript has 3 exons. Lineage: Eukaryota; Viridiplantae; Streptophyta; Magnoliopsida; Caryophyllales; Amaranthaceae.
AGCCACUUUCUUCAAAAAGGAGAAGAUCUUGCAAAUAUCAAAGGGAAGCAAAGAGAGUUUAGAGAAGAAGUUGCAGGUACAAGUUCUUGAUGCGCAUGGAAAUCAUAAGCAUCCGGAUGGGAGUUUUCAGUACACGAGUACUUUAUUAUUUAAACUAUCUUGAAUUUUAUAUUUGACUUUACUUGACCAAUGGGGUCAAGGUUUGACUUUUGAAGAUGGGACUAGUAUGGGAUAGUCUCGGAGUUUGUAUUCAUUUACAUACUUUCUUAUUUCCGUUGUAUUAAAAUAUUUUCAGUUUAUUUUAAAAGACUUCCGCUGUAUUAUCUGAUUAGCCUUACGUAUUAUCAUGCGUGGCAUAACAACUCCCGCAAUUUCUCCUAGUUUAUAAAAGGAGGAGUCGUGGGGGUGUUACAAUAAUGGUAGCACUUGGAUAUGAUGAUUUAAGUGGAGUUUGUAAAGGUAUUAUAUUACUC